Molecule: non-coding RNA, 641 nt
Organism: Anas platyrhynchos (mallard)
Lineage: Eukaryota; Metazoa; Chordata; Aves; Anseriformes; Anatidae
Source: RefSeq, a predicted model, not a curated record
UCAGGAAAAACAAAGUAAAAAAAAAUCCGCUGCACAAACCGGUCUGAUAAACGCGUCGGGUUCGGGGUUUUUCCCCUUUCCAAAGGCACCGCAUUUCCAAGCGUCCAGCGGGUUCCAGCAUUGGAGACAAAUAAAUAAAUGGCCAAAAAGGAGAAGGCAGGAAGGGAGCAGGAUACAGGCGUGUAGCUAAAUAAACAGAGUCGCAGGGGGACAAAGAGGAUGGGAAAAAGGGAAGAUACAGAUACCCCCCAAACCAACACCCCCUGACCAAUUUUGCGGCGCUGGGGAAGCCAGCAGCUGGGGAACAGCUGCACGAUUAUUGGGUGAACCGGGAGGGGAAAGGAGCACUCGGAGGGAUCAUUAGUGAAGGGACGGGGCACGGGAAGGGCUCCCGGGAACCGGGGGAGAGAACGCGGCUGCCGGCACCCGGAGCAGCUGCUGAAGGGUGACCUGGCUGUGCAGCAUGCAGGAAACAGAGGGUCGGUGUGUCGGUGAUGCUGCAGGAAGAGCCCAAGUGGGGGAAGCUGAAGACGUGAUCUCCAGGCCAAAAAGAGUCAGUCCAGCUCCCCAGCAAUCUGCAGCCCUGGGGAAAAAUGGCCAACAGGUGAGCACAGAGUGGCAGGGGGAAAGUUUUACUGAGA